This 230-nucleotide ribosomal RNA is filed under the name uncultured bacterium. Its description in RNAcentral is "partial 16S ribosomal RNA". It matches the Rfam family "Bacterial small subunit ribosomal RNA", at positions 568 to 797 of the family's 1533-position model. The record is from RNAcentral.
AAUGUAGGCGGUUUUGCAAGUCAGGGGUGAAAUCCCUCAGCUUAACUGAGGAAGUGCCUUUGAAACUGCAUAACUAGAGAACAGGAGAGGAAAGUGGAAUUCCCGGUGUAGCGGUGGAAUGCGUAGAUAUCGGGAGGAACACCAGAGGCGAAGGCGGCUUUCUGGACUGAUCCUGACGCUGAGAUUCGAAAGCUAGGGGAGCAAACAGGAUUAGAUACCCUGGUAGUCCC